RNAcentral lists this long non-coding RNA (691 nucleotides) under Oryctolagus cuniculus (rabbit). RNAcentral describes it as "lncRNA (ENSOCUG00000033621.1)". The record is from RNAcentral. Lineage: Eukaryota; Metazoa; Chordata; Mammalia; Lagomorpha; Leporidae.
AAUAUGACUUCUGUAGAGGAGAAAUAGAGGCUUCCAUUAUCAGCGUGAGUAGUGAUGUCAUCUCCAUUGGAUUUUGUGCCAUUUCUGGGCUGGAGGAUCCUGCUUGUGCAUCUCACACCGUGACUGUUACUUGUAAUCUUUAGUCCCCCUCACCCUGUGUGCCUGGCUGUCAACAGUGAUUUUACCACAGUGGCCACUUAGUUAUUCCUGCCCAAAUUCACCCAGGGAAUACUGACACUGAAGGAGCCUCUGGCUGUGUCUUGGGCUGGCCUCCCUGAUGCUAAGUGUGCCAGCUAGUACCCGUCAGAACGGCCCCAUUGUCAAGGUUCCAUAGAUAUUCAGGGAUGACAGCGUGGUGGGUCUGGACAGCCAGCAUUUGAACAGCAGAUGUUGCAUUGUUUCUGCUUCCUCCACCUCUGUGGCCUUGGGUCAUCAUCGAACCUGCUUCUGUUUUCCUUAGAAUGAACUUGGCACCCUUAGGAAGGAAGCCCUGGAAGACUGCUCCUCACCAGUCCCUCUGGCCUGCCUACUGCCUCUGACAUCUGCAGUGAGAAUGCAUCCAGUCUCAAGAUGCGAUGAAUCAUACAAUCAAUUAUUCAACAAAUACCUGCUGAGUUCCUGUGUCAAGCACUGCUUCAGCAUUUAGGGUGCAGCAGCACUGGCUCUACCGACAAGCGUGAGCCCGUCGGCA